ACAAGAGGUUGUUUGAGGGUCAAAAUUGGCAGCAGUUGGUGGAGUUUGUGAAGAAGAUGAAGGAAGGUGGUGGUGAUGGGAGGAGGAGACAAUUAUCUGAAGAAGACACUACAGGAAGUGACCUUUAUGUUGGGUUUGUCAGAAAAAGCAGGAAGGUUGAAGAAGUUUCCCUAGUGUAAAAUUUCCACUCUACAUAGGUACACAUAUAGUGUGGUAUGAAUAAUAAACAACAAAACAGUAUACUGUUAAAGCUUUUAGAAUGUGCAGAAAGAAAAGAUGAUGUACACUUAUGUUAUAAAAUUUUCAUCUUCAAACUCUCAUCUCUUUAUAAUAUGCUAUUUGUUUCUCUUACAAUCCUCCUCUUUUCCCGAUCCUCGAUCAAUAUGCAUUUCUUGUGAACUGAAUUGUUUGGUAAAUUUUUCAUAUGAGAACACAUCAUUGUUUGUACAACAAUUGCUCAUCAGAGCAAAGCUCAAGAAAUUAUUACCAACAUUCUGGAAAUCGUAAUUGACAACAAUUGAAAUUGAAACAAAGAGCUUUUCAAAUCAAUUGGAUUACCUAGCUAUAUGUACCUGAAGAAGAUGUGGAUCGUUUGAGUUAUUGGAAUGAAGAAAGAUGUUCUGGUCGAGAAUGAUUUGAGUUGAGUUUUUAUUUAUUAGUCAUAUUAUUAUAUGAGUCCGCCUAAGACUCAUUAACAAUAACCUAGUUUUUCGCCACUAUAAAUACAUCUACUAACACACUCGUUAUUCUUCUCUUUCUAUCGUUUCCAUAGCACAACAAAAAUGGGCGGUGCAUUCAGUUUUCUUGGAAACAAACGCACUCGAUUCUCAUUUGCCGAUAAAGAAUGACUAGAGAAUUUCUCAACUAUAUGUAAGUCUGCAUUUUUUUCAUUACACAUUUUAUUUUGUUUUUACAUUCAUAUAAAUACAUUUAUUAAUAAAAAUUAUGGGGUCUGUUUCUUAAUUAUGUUUUAAUUUUGAGGACUGUUUUUACAAUUACCUGCUUGUAUUCUCAAUUUGAUACAAUGUUUUUUUCAGUGUGCUUAUCCAAUUUGUGAAAUGUGACUGCUCUUCUCUUCUCUUCUUUGAACGCUCUUUUCACCAGUUAUUUACAUCUAUGAUGUUUUCAUAUUAAUUUUGGCAGCAGUUGGUGGAGUUUGUGAAGAAGAUGAAGGAAGGUGGUGGUGAUGGGAGGAGGAGACAAUUAUCUGAGGAAGACACUACAGGAAGUGACCUUUAUGUUGGGUUUGUCAGAAAAAGCAGGAAGGUUGAAGAAGCUUCUUUAGUGUAAAAUUUCCACUCCACAUAGGUACACAUAUAGUGUGAUAUGAAUAAUAAAUAACAAAGCAGCAUACUGUUUAAAUCUUUUAGAAUGUGCAGAAAGAAAAGAUGAUGUAUACUUAUGCUAUAAAAUUUUCAUCUUCAAACUCUCGUCUCAUUAUAAUAUGCUAUUUUUCUCUCUUACAAUCCUCC
This 1472-nucleotide long non-coding RNA is filed under the name Brassica napus (rape). RNAcentral describes it as "long non-coding RNA (BNAP_LNC000329)". The record is from RNAcentral. Lineage: Eukaryota; Viridiplantae; Streptophyta; Magnoliopsida; Brassicales; Brassicaceae.